This 265-nucleotide small nuclear RNA is filed under the name Jaculus jaculus (lesser Egyptian jerboa). Its description in RNAcentral is "7SK RNA (ENSJJAG00000001962.1)". It matches the Rfam family "7SK RNA", at positions 1 to 285 of the family's 331-position model. Rfam says of the family: 7SK was discovered as an abundant small nuclear RNA in the mid-70s but a possible function has only recently been suggested. Two independent studies have found that 7SK RNA binds the CDK9/cyclin T complex (known as elongation factor P-TEFb). Lineage: Eukaryota; Metazoa; Chordata; Mammalia; Rodentia; Dipodidae. The record is from Rfam by way of RNAcentral.
GGUUAUGUAUGGGUGAUCUGGCUACAACAUCUGUCACACCACUGAUCACCAGGGUUGAUUCAGCUGAUCUGGCUGGCUAGGCAGGUGUCCCUAUUCCCUCACCACUCCAUGCAUGUCCCUCUCAGUCGAAGAGGAUGACCUUCCCCGAAUAGAGGAGGACCAGUCUUCAGUCAAGAGCAUAUGAGUAGCUGUGCUCCCCUCCUAGAACCUCCAAACAAGCUCUUAAAAUUGGGGGCUGGAGAGAUGGCUUAGCAGUUAAGGCCUU